RNAcentral lists this small RNA (125 nucleotides) under Marmota monax (woodchuck). The record is from RNAcentral. Lineage: Eukaryota; Metazoa; Chordata; Mammalia; Rodentia; Sciuridae.
GCCAGGUGUGGUGGUGCACACCUGUAAUUCCAGUGGCUCGGGAGGUGGAGGCAGGAGGAUCGAGAGCUCAAAGCCAGCCUUAGCAACAGCGAGGUGCUAAGCAACUCAGUGAGACCCUGACUCUA